This 366-nucleotide ribosomal RNA is filed under the name uncultured bacterium. Its description in RNAcentral is "bacterial SSU rRNA". It matches the Rfam family "Bacterial small subunit ribosomal RNA", at positions 28 to 396 of the family's 1533-position model. The record is from RNAcentral.
GACGAACGCUGGCGGCGUGCUUAACACAUGCAAGUCGAGCGGUAAGGCCCUUUCGGGGUACGACGAGCGGCGAACGGUGAGUAACACGUGGGUGACCUGCCCUCAGCUCUGGGAUAAGCCUGGGAAACCGGGUCUAAUACUGGAUAUGACUCCAUGACGCACGUUGUGGGGUGGAAAGCCUUGUGCGGCUGAGGAUGGGCCCGCGGCCUAUCAGCUUGUUGGUGGGGUGANGGCCUACCAAGGCGACGACGGGUAGCCGGCCUGAGAGGGCGACCGGCCACACUGGGACUGAGACACGGCCCAGACUCCUACGGGAGGCAGCAGUGGGGAAUCUUGCGCAAUGGGCGAAAGCCUGACGCAGCGACG